CUUCACUUUACACACAACCAUUCAUGGGUGUCCCCUCUCUUGUCUUGGUUAAGAACGAGGCAAGUCGGUAUGCAGUGGAUCUUGACUCUCUCAAUCACUACAACAGCUCAUAAUUCCUCUUUACUUCACAUACAACCAUUCAUGGGUCUCGCCUCUUUAGCCGUGUUGGUUAAGGACGAGGCAAGCCACUGCUAGUCCCAUAUCAAGGUCUUGCGUCUGCUUGAGAAAGAUAAUAAAGGAAGUGAAAUUCGCAUCUGACAUUUCUCCCUCUCGCUUCAUGAUAAUAUAAGUGUUUGGGAGCCGAUAGAGUACAUGAGUUCUGAUUCUUUCAAAAUAAUUAGUGUCAAACUUUGCAAGAUCCAUCACGAGGCUUUCCUGUGUAUAUGUUGCAUGAUUAGAAUAUUCAUGUUUAACGGAACCUAGGCUUAAAGGAUGCAUGUUAAAAAUCUUUCCGUGUGUGUGUGUGUGUGUGUGUGUGUGUGUGUGAUGCGGAGUAGAGGGUGGAGCUAAAACCCUGACCUCACAUUAAACUAUCAAUUUUUCCUGCGACAAUAGUUUUUCCCUCCUGCCUGUUAUAUAUUUACUUGGUACAAUAUAACAACACGUAUACUAGUUAGCUAAACUUUUUGGCCUGCAUGUAUUGACUAACCCAGCGCUGAUAAGAAUGCAUGUGUGCACUAGUACAUUAACCUGGAUGGGACGUCAGUGAUAUUUGGCAGCUAUGACGAGGUGGGAGAGGAGGAGGAGGUCAGUGAAAUCACAAAAAGAAGCACGGCAAGUAUCGUCGCCCAUUCUUCCCUUCACCUAGCCAUGACCCUCGUUCACGUGUGCCUGCUGCUUGAGCGUGGCGCUGCUGGCCGCCCCCACACCUCUCAGAGCAGCGCCCUCACAGCCCGCCCAAGCCGCUGCCAAUUUGCUGAGUGUAUGGCAGCCAGAACACAGAGCAGCAGUACCAAAUGUCGCCCAGGCUCAGGUCGGUGGCUCAACAGCUCGGGACGGAGGCGAUGACGGCUACACCAUUCAUAUCGAGUACGGCUUCCCGCUGUACACCUUCCACAUCCCUUUCAAGGCACUGCACUGAUCCUGAAGUCUGCUAAAUACACAGAAAAAGCAACAAUGAGAAAGAGAGAGAGAGAGAGAGAGAGAGAGAGAGAGAGAGAGAGAGAGAGAGAGAGAGAGAGAGAGAGAGAGAGAGAGAGAGAGAGAGAGAGAGUAAU
This is a long non-coding RNA of Scylla paramamosain (green mud crab), 1217 nucleotides long. RefSeq lists it as uncharacterized. The transcript is spliced from 2 exons. NCBI's taxonomy places the organism in Eukaryota, Metazoa, Arthropoda, Malacostraca, Decapoda, Portunidae. The record is from RefSeq and is a predicted model, not a curated record.